RNAcentral lists this ribosomal RNA (439 nucleotides) under uncultured bacterium. Its description in RNAcentral is "partial 16S ribosomal RNA". It matches the Rfam family "Bacterial small subunit ribosomal RNA", at positions 338 to 795 of the family's 1533-position model. The record is from RNAcentral.
CCUACGGGUGGCAGCAGUGGGGAAUAUUGCACAAUGGGGGAAACCCUGAUGCAGCGACGCCGCGUGAGUGAAGAAGUAUUUCGGUAUGUAAAGCUCUAUCAGCAGGGAAGAAAUGACGGUACCUGACUAAGAAGCCCAGGCUAACUACGUGCCAGCAGCCGCGGUAAUACGUAGGGGGCAAGCGUUAUCCGGAUUUACUGGGUGUAAAGGGGGCGUAGACGGCGGCGCAAGUCUGAAGUGAAAGCCAUUGGCUUAACCAUGGAACUGCUUUGGAAACUGUGCAGCUGGAGUGCAGGAGAGGUAAGCGGAAUGCCUGGUGUAGCGGUGAAAUGCAUAGAUAUUAGGAGGAACACCAGUGGCGAAGGCGGCUUACUGGACUGUAACUGACGUUGAGGCUCGAAAGCGUGGGGAGCAAACAGGAUUAGAUACCCUUGUAGUC